This 427-nucleotide ribosomal RNA is filed under the name uncultured bacterium. RNAcentral describes it as "bacterial SSU rRNA". It matches the Rfam family "Bacterial small subunit ribosomal RNA", at positions 355 to 774 of the family's 1533-position model. The record is from RNAcentral.
UAGGGAAUAUUGGACAAUGGGGGCAACCCUGAUCCAGCCAUGCCGCGUGAGUGAAGAAGGCCCUCGGGUUGUAAAGCUCUUUUGUCCGGAAAGAAAAGCUUCGGGUUAAUACCCCGGGGUUCUGACGGUACCGGAAGAAUAAGCACCGGCUAACUUCGUGCCAGCAGCCGCGGUAAUGCGAAGGGUGCAAGCGUUACUCGGAAUUACUGGGCGUAAAGCGUGCGUAGGUGGUUGUUUAAGUCUGAUGUGAAAGCCCUGGGCUCAACCUGGGAAUGGCAUUGGAAACUGGGCAGCUAGAGUGCGGUAGAGGGUAGUGGAAUUCCCGGUGUAGCAGUGAAAUGCGUAGAGAUCGGGAGGCACAUCUGUGGCGAAGGCGACUGCCUGGACCAGCACUGACACUGAGGCACGAAAGCGUGGGGAGCAAACA